RNAcentral lists this ribosomal RNA (253 nucleotides) under uncultured bacterium. Its description in RNAcentral is "partial 16S ribosomal RNA". It matches the Rfam family "Bacterial small subunit ribosomal RNA", at positions 524 to 776 of the family's 1533-position model. The record is from RNAcentral.
UACGGAGGGUGCAAGCGUUAAUCGGAAUUACUGGGCGUAAAGCGCGCGUAGGCGGUCACUUAAGUCGGGUGUGAAAGCCCCGGGCUCAACCUGGGAAUUGCAUUCGAUACUGGGUGACUUGAGUAUAGGAGAGGAUAGUGGAAUUUCAGGUGUAGCGGUGAAAUGCGUAGAGAUCUGAAGGAACAUCAGUGGCGAAGGCGACUGUCUGGCCUAAUACUGACGCUGAGGUGCGAAAGCGUGGGGAGCAAACAGG